GUUUGAGAGGGCAGAAUUUCUGAGCACAGAUCUGAGCCAGUCUCAGAGUCAAAGUCUCCAGGGAUUGUACGCCAGGGGAGCUGGUCCUCCCAUCCCUAGCUCACCCUCAAGAUGGCCUGGAAAAUGCUUUCAAAAUCAGGCUGUGCAUCUGGAAAGUUCUUGAGCUAGCUACCUGACCCAGAGGCUGUCACCCCACAGUGAAAACCUGAGACCAGUUAUUCCUCAUUCCUGUUCUUCCCUAUGGUGCAGAGGGCUCAGGAGUGGAAAGAGUUCAAGAAGCCCUCCUCCAGGCUUUCAGACACACCCCCGGAACGUCUUCUCACUCACAGGCUGCAUCCACAACUGCACAAGGGGGACUGUAGAAUGCUUUCCCGAGUCUGGAUUCUUACAGCCCGGGCCAGAACGACGUGACUGAAACUGCCAAGUUCUGCUGCUUACUGGGGCUGGAGCAUGGUCCUCUCAUUCAAUUACAUCUUCAUCAGCUUUCUACUUUUGAUCUUCACUGCCAAAGUUUGGCUGUCUUCAACCUGCAUCUCUAGACAACUCUGGCCUCAAACUCAGAGAUCUGCCAGCCUCAGCCUUCUCAGUGCUGAAAUUAAAGAGAGAAUGCUCCCUACUUUCUCCUGGAAAAGAAUUGCAGCAAUGCACAAAGGAAAAUGGACACCUGCCCUAUCCCCAUGCACUCAUGGGGCUUAUGUUCCACACUUCAGGUUCUACUGAGACUUCCAAUAGAGGUAGCAACUAUAUAGCAAGAACUUCAGAGUGAAAAAUUAAUCUCCACAUCUCUUACCACACAUCUUCCUGAAGGAUCUAACCAAGAGCAGCUAACUGCAAGGAAAAUGUUGGGGGCCCAUUUGAUCUGAGAGGUCUACGCUGCCACCCAGGAUGCUGAUGACAACUGGACCCAAGCUGCUGCUGCUGGCCAUGUCUGUAUCCAUGGUCCUGAUGUGGCUGGGGUCUGUGUUGAUGUCUGUUACCUGUGUUACCACAGGGGACUUGCAAACCAUGUAUUGAACUGCUUGUUGAAUUACAAGGGCCAUGCUGAGCUGGUCCUACCUGUCACUGGCCCAGCGAGAUCCAGUUGCCUCCUCACCGGUGAGCCAACCAUACACCCCCAGCAUUGGUCCCACCUCACAUAGGAGAGCCUCCCACACUUGAGAAAGCUGGACCCACCCCUCACUACCAGCACUGAAGAGCUGGCUCCGCCCCUCACCUGAGGAGGAUGGUCCCAGCAGCCUGGACUGACCAACUCAGCUACCACGUAGGCAUGUUUCCAGGGCUCUGAGUUGGCACUCUCCAACAUCUACCCCCUCUAUGACCUGCUGGAGUGUGUGAAGGGUCUGGUCCUUCGUAACCAUAGCCACAGGAUCUCCAUGACUUCAGGCAACUGCAGGGUAUCAUAGAGGAGAUUCAGCGAGGGUCCAGUAUUGAUAGUGUACAAGAAGCCAGAGGCCUUGAACCUGACCAACAACACACUACAUAAUGAAUAUUUGCAAGUAAAGCUGUUUGGACAAAAGGGUAUACUACAUGAUAACACCGUAUCUCCCAAUGCCACUGAGAGGAAUGAAGAGGCAAUAGAGAGGCAGGAAAGAUAGAGGAGUGAAGUGUUUCUUUUUGUUGUUGUUGUUUUGUUUUCUUGAGACAGGGUUUCUCUGUAUUGCUUUGGAGGUUGUCCUGAACUCACUCUGUAGACCAGACUGGCCUUCAACAGUCUGCCUGCCUCUGCCUCCCGAGUGCUGGGGAUUAAAGGCAUAGGUCACCAACGCCCCCGACUGCUUUUUUGUUUAUUUGCUUUUUGUUUUUUGUUUAUCUUAAUUAACAUUUCUUAUUUGCAUUUUUUUAAUUUCGAUUUAAUUUUAUUCUAUUUAUUUUUAGUUUUCCUUUGCAGGGGCAAUACUACAAAAGUGAAGGGUAGAUGGAGA
Molecule: long non-coding RNA, 1922 nt
Filed under: Cricetulus griseus (Chinese hamster)
Lineage: Eukaryota; Metazoa; Chordata; Mammalia; Rodentia; Cricetidae
Description: lncRNA (ENSCGRG00015038461.1)
Source: RNAcentral